RNAcentral lists this ribosomal RNA (1443 nucleotides) under Limosilactobacillus reuteri. Its description in RNAcentral is "bacterial SSU rRNA". It matches the Rfam family "Bacterial small subunit ribosomal RNA". The record is from RNAcentral. Lineage: Bacteria; Bacillati; Bacillota; Bacilli; Lactobacillales; Lactobacillaceae.
AUGCAAGUCGUACGCACUGGCCCAACUGAUUGAUGGUGCUUGCACCUGAUUGACGAUGGAUUACCAGUGAGUGGCGGACGGGUGAGUAACACGUAGGUAACCUGCCCCGGAGCGGGGGAUAACAUUUGGAAACAGAUGCUAAUACCGCAUAACAACAAAAGCCACAUGGCUUUUGUUUGAAAGAUGGCUUUGGCUAUCACUCUGGGAUGGACCUGCGGUGCAUUAGCUAGUUGGUAAGGUAACGGCUUACCAAGGCGAUGAUGCAUAGCCGAGUUGAGAGACUGAUCGGCCACAAUGGAACUGAGACACGGUCCAUACUCCUACGGGAGGCAGCAGUAGGGAAUCUUCCACAAUGGGCGCAAGCCUGAUGGAGCAACACCGCGUGAGUGAAGAAGGGUUUCGGCUCGUAAAGCUCUGUUGUUGGAGAAGAACGUGCGUGAGAGUAACUGUUCAUGCAGUGACGGUAUCCAACCAGAAAGUCACGGCUAACUACGUGCCAGCAGCCGCGGUAAUACGUAGGUGGCAAGCGUUAUCCGGAUUUAUUGGGCGUAAAGCGAGCGCAGGCGGUUGCUUAGGUCUGAUGUGAAAGCCUUCGGCUUAACCGAAGAAGUGCAUCGGAAACCGGGCGACUUGAGUGCAGAAGAGGACAGUGGAACUCCAUGUGUAGCGGUGGAAUGCGUAGAUAUAUGGAAGAACACCAGUGGCGAAGGCGGCUGUCUGGUCUGCAACUGACGCUGAGGCUCGAAAGCAUGGGUAGCGAACAGGAUUAGAUACCCUGGUAGUCCAUGCCGUAAACGAUGAGUGCUAGGUGUUGGAGGGUUUCCGCCCUUCAGUGCCGGAGCUAACGCAUUAAGCACUCCGCCUGGGGAGUACGACCGCAAGGUUGAAACUCAAAGGAAUUGACGGGGGCCCGCACAAGCGGUGGAGCAUGUGGUUUAAUUCGAAGCUACGCGAAGAACCUUACCAGGUCUUGACAUCUUGCGCCAACCUUAGAGAUAAGGCGUUCCCUUCGGGGACGCAAUGACAGGUGGUGCAUGGUCGUCGUCAGCUCGUGUCGUGAGAUGUUGGGUUAAGUCCCGCAACGAGCGCAACCCUUGUUACUAGUUGCCAGCAUUAAGUUGGGCACUCUAGUGAGACUGCCGGUGACAAACCGGAGGAAGGUGGGGACGACGUCAGAUCAUCAUGCCCCUUAUGACCUGGGCUACACACGUGCUACAAUGGACGGUACAACGAGUCGCAAGCUCGCGAGAGUAAGCUAAUCUCUUAAAGCCGUUCUCAGUUCGGACUGUAGGCUGCAACUCGCCUACACGAAGUCGGAAUCGCUAGUAAUCGCGGAUCAGCAUGCCGCGGUGAAUACGUUCCCGGGCCUUGUACACACCGCCCGUCACACCAUGGGAGUUUGUAACGCCCAAAGUCGGUGGCCUAACCUUUAUGGAGGGAGCC